GAUGAAGAACGCAGCGAAAUGCGAUACUUGGUGUGAAUUGCAGAAUCCCGUGAACCAUCGAGUCUUUGAACGCAAGUUGCGCCCGAAGCCACUAGGCCGAGGGCACGCCUGCCUGGGCGUCACACGUCGUUGCCCCCCACCAUCUACUCCUUCGGGAUUGCGGGGGGCGGAUGAUGGCCUCCCGUGCGCCUAGUCGCGCGGUUGGCAUAAAUACCAAGUCCUCGGCGACGCACGCCACGACAAUCGGUGGUUGCGAAACCUCGGUUGCCCGUCGUGUGCGUUCGUCGCGCAUCGAGGGCUCGAAAAAAUGCUCGGCUCCGGCUCGGCUUUCAACGCGACCCCAGGUCAGGCGGGGUUACCCGCUGAAUUUAAGCAUAUCAAUAAGCGGAGGA
This 392-nucleotide unclassified non-coding RNA is filed under the name soil metagenome. RNAcentral's name for it is "partial contains 5.8S ribosomal RNA, internal transcribed spacer 2, and large subunit ribosomal RNA". The stretch from base 1 to 122 matches the Rfam family "5.8S ribosomal RNA", at positions 35 to 154 of the family's 154-position model. The record is from RNAcentral.